AUGGCCGUGCUUCUCCGCCCCAAGGAGCAUCAUGACAUGCCCGACGGCACCACCCUGGGGUUCCACACAUUCUCCUGCGAAGAGGAUCAGAUGCCGUCCCAUGUGGUAUGUGUCCGUCAGGACUACUCACGGCCUUGCGCACGGUUUGCUGUCUUCUCAUCGGACACCAUGGAGUGGCAGAUCUUCCCGGAGACUGCGACGCCGCUGCCUCAGGGCUUCAGGCGCACAGCUAGCACCGUGCUGCAUGGGUUUAUAUGUUGGCAAUGCGAGUCCAUUAACGGAGUGGCUAUCAGCGAGUACAUUUUCGUGCUCAAAACAGAUACAUUUCAGUUCUCUCGAAUGGAUCUACCGCAGCCCUUGAGAGCGGUACACCAAACAUUUAAGAUUGGUCAGACCAAUGAUGGGAAGCUCUGUAUUGUGAAUGAGAAGGAAUGCACGUUUAGUAUUUGGAUCUUGACAGCCGGCGAGGACGGCAUCGAGAGAUUUGUGCUGCACAAGAUGUUCCCGUUGCAAGCUAGCUUUAUGGAGGUCACUAGCUGUUCAGUGGAAGAUACAAUCUCAGUGCGUCUCAUAACGGUUUUCAACGGUUUUGUGUACUUUGCACUUCGCCCAUGGAGGAAUUACGUGGAUCAGUUCAAAUCCCCUGAGUGGUUCAUGUCCAUGUCUCUGGAAACAGCGGAGCUGAAGCAGCAUCUGAACAAUACAGCGGCCUGUCUUCCCUGUCCUUCCCUACUCCUGGCCUCCUUCUAUGGAAUACAUCUCGGAGGAUUCAAAAUCUAA
RNAcentral lists this ribosomal RNA (780 nucleotides) under Triticum aestivum (bread wheat). RNAcentral's name for it is "partial small subunit ribosomal RNA". The record is from RNAcentral. Lineage: Eukaryota; Viridiplantae; Streptophyta; Magnoliopsida; Poales; Poaceae.